Molecule: ribosomal RNA, 485 nt
Filed under: uncultured bacterium
Lineage: Bacteria
Description: bacterial SSU rRNA
Rfam family: Bacterial small subunit ribosomal RNA
Source: RNAcentral
CGAGUUUGAUCAUGGCUCAGAAUCAACGCUGGCGGCGUGCCUCAGACAUGCAAGUCGAACGAUUAAAGCUCUCUUCGGAGAGUGUAUAGAGUGGCGCACGGGUGAGUAACACGUAAGUAAUCUACCCUCGAGCGGGGAAUAACAACCGGAAACGGUUGCUAAUACCGCAUAAUGCAGCGGCACCGCAAGGUGACAGUUGUUAAAGAUUUAUCGCUUGAGGAGGAGCUUGCGGCAGAUUAGCUAGUUGGUAGGGUAACGGCUUACCAAGGCUACGAUCUGUAACCGGUCUAAGAGGACGGUCGGUCACACUGACACUGAAUAACGGGUCAGACUCCUACGGGAGGCAGCAGUCGGGAAUUUUGGGCAAUGGGCGAAAGCCUGACCCAGCAACGCCGCGUGAAGGAUGAAGUAUUUCGGUAUGUAAACUUCGAAAGAAUAGGAAGAAUUAAUGACGGUACUAUUUAUAAGGUCCGGCUAACUACGUG